Long non-coding RNA from Triticum aestivum (bread wheat), 1633 nucleotides. RefSeq lists it as uncharacterized. Lineage: Eukaryota; Viridiplantae; Streptophyta; Magnoliopsida; Poales; Poaceae. The record is from RefSeq and is a predicted model, not a curated record. The transcript is spliced from 3 exons.
CCCACGAUCGCACGUCCCACGCCUGGUCUCCCCAGCCCCUCGCUUCCGAUCACAUCUCUCGCCUGUAUGGUCUCGCCGCUCUGCCCUCUCGAUCCGCCGCCGUGAAGCCUGUAUGGUCACCAUCUAGCCUCCACCGUCUCCCUUCUCCUCUCUGAAGGCAGGCCCUCCUCGGUGUGAUGAGUAGUCCGCGGUGCUGCCGCCCCCUGCACGAGAGUGGCCGCGGCGUCGGCCACACCAGCACUCUCGUCGGGGCCGCACUUCCUGUACCGUACCUGGCUGGCCGGGAGGAGCUUGCUGCUCGCCAUGAUCUUCUCCACGUGUAGGCUACCCGGUCGAGCUCUCCCACCGGUCAAACGAGCCAAGCGCAAAAGUGACGAGAGAAUGCAUGCUCUGCAAUGACGUGCACUGCGUACCUUGCAGAGUUCUUGCUAGGAAUCUGAAGAUAGCGUGUUGUACACCUGCAGGUAAUUCGCUUUUAUUGGAUUGUGGGAGGAGAGGCCAAACCGUACUUGUGUAAUGGUGCAGCUUAAAUGUUUGAAGGAAGACUUACAUCGUACUUGGAGAAUAAUUACAUCCUACUUGGAGGUAGCAGGGACGUGUCAUAUGUUUUUGGGAUCCAGAUCAAGAUGGUUGUAUAUACAUCCAAAUUCAGAUCACACAGUGCCUUACAAGGUGGGAAUCAGCAGGGCAAGGGAAGAAUCCUGGGAGGUAAUUUUGAUUAUCCCACAAUGGGGUCCAUGAUAAAUGUUGGCUAAUUGUGUUUUGAAGAAUAUCAGUUUCAUGUUCUCUUGGUGUUUUUGGAUUUGCCUCAAUGUCAUCCAGAUUGAUUUCAUAUACCAAAAUCUUAAUCCAACUCUUUUCUAGACAUAAGUUUAUAUGCACAUGCUACAUAGUUUUGAUGUAUAUAUGUCUCUUCCUCUGAGUAGUAUGCUCCAAUUUUUGUUUCUUGAUGUAUAUUGCCACUUGAAUAACACUCAGUUUCUCUAAAUAAAUUUGUACUCUACAUACCUCUCUCUCUGCGGUGGAAAAUCUAUCAUACAGGGCAAUAAGAUGAAAUCAGUUUUUAAUUUGAGAUGUCCUUUAAAAAACCCACGGAGAAACCAAGCGAAUUGAUAGUCAGCCCGCAUCAAUAUGGCGAAUCAACCGGAGUUGCCUUCUUGGGACGAUGCAUUUGCAUUGAAGCAGUGUCGUUGGUCUGAUCGCGGCGGUCAGCACCACCCUCCCAUCCGGUCACAUUGCGCGACAUCAAUACAGGUCUGCAGCUCUGGGCCGGCAUGAAUGUGGUGCGGGAAGCUGCGCGUAUGUUGGAGAGAUAGAGUAUGUACGUUUAUUUGUAUUUUUCUUACUUAAUAGGUGGAUUUUCUCCAGUGAUUCUGCGGCCGUCGAGGAGGUGAGGUUUUUCCAUCAAAUGAUUUUACAGUCUGUUUGGUGUGACCACUGCUACUAGGUGCAGAGUAUGGAGUAGGACAAGCAUCAGUCAUGUAAAUUGUUAAUCAAUCUGGUUUUGCAAGUCGUUGAGUCGUAGUAGCUAUGUAGGAUUCCUAAUGGAUACUACCAUGAAUCAUGUUCUGUCGUUAAGGAGAACCUUUUCUAAAUGUAUUCCAGCUGAGCCUCUUCUAUUUUUUUCCUUUUG